Molecule: long non-coding RNA, 1656 nt
Organism: Scophthalmus maximus (turbot)
Lineage: Eukaryota; Metazoa; Chordata; Actinopteri; Pleuronectiformes; Scophthalmidae
Source: Ensembl
AUGCGCGCUCCGCAGAGGACGUUCUUUUCCUCUGAACCUUAUUCUCAGCAACAUCCAUCAAUAUCAGGCGGUCGGUCUCCGCACGUCCUGCAGGAGAAGAUGUGCCCCUGUGUCUUAUUCACGGCCCUUCUUUCCAUUCCCCUCGCUGUGGGUUGGGUAAUACCAGCUGAAAGAGAAGAACUCCACAGGGUUUGUGCCGGGAAGGAAUUCCGCCUGCCAGUGUACUCAACGUCACGAACGGUGACUUUUACCCCAAACACUGAAGGACCUAAGCAUGUCCUGUUGGACAAAACCACCGUAAAGGAUCCACGGUUCGAAUGGACCAGAGAUAAGAUGUUGGUACUGAAAGAGGUGACUCACAGUGAUGAUGGACUUUUUGCCAUCAAACUCUCGUCUGGAUUCACCUACGAGACUGUUCGUCUGAUUGUUUCAGAAUGCAUUAAGUCCUACCACAGAAACUACGGGGAGAACUUUGAGCACAUCAUCCCAGAAAAUGGCUCCCUACUGGAGUUUUCUCCCCGAGGUGCUCCAUCUAAGGCCAUGCCCAUUGUGCUUUGGAACCGGACGGAACCUGAAACCAGUGAUGCGAGGCGGGGUCGGCUGAUGCGAGGCGGGAAGGUGUGGGUGGCCGAGAAAGUGACUCAAGUGGACCAAGGCAACUACACUGUGAGAGACGCGCAGGGGAAGGUGCUGUCCCGCAGCACCCUCGCUGUCCGUGGACACUCAUACAAUGUCACCCGCUUCAGCAAGGAGACUCUAAACCUGCCCCUCUUUCUACCUGUACAUCAUGCCCACCUCGUUUUUACCCCCACCCAACACCCUGAUGAAUCCUCACUGAGCCAUUUUGACCCCAAGCCCCCCCACGGAGCUGUGCAUCUUAUCCGCGAUGGCCAAAUAACAGACUACGACAUGCGCUACAGGGGCCUCAUCUCCCUGGGCAGGAAAGGUACCACCAAUGAGGUCGUCAUAGCGAGGCUGACCUCAAGGCAUGACGGGGUGUAUGAAAUUAGAGAUGGGAAUGGCAACCUGGUGUCCUCCACCUUAUUACAGGUGAUUGAAAAGGGGCCCAGAUGGCGAUCAUUCCUCAAGUCCAUCACUGUCCCUUCUGGGAUGUUCGUGUCAUUGGCUGGUUUCAUCUUUUUCAUGAGGCGCUACCCAAACUGCAGCCUGUCCAAGAUCAUCGCUGGCCUCAGAGUAAACCGCACACCACCAGCCAACCCUCCGAGAGUUAACAUCCAGGACUACAGCCAGCCCGUCUCUGAGCCCUCAGAAUACAACAGUCACUCCCAGCAGCCUGGACCACCAACAAAAUGGAGCCCGAGAGCCAGUCCUACUCAUAGUGGUUACACUCCAGUAACUGUCGGUACUCCGAGAGCUGAGAACCAGGGAACACACAGAUUGACAGCUGGGAGAUCCCCAUGUCAUAAUUCAACACCUGAGCGGGACUCAUCUAAUGAGGAACAGAGAAGGAUUUCCUUUUCAGUGCCUGGGGCUUCAGAUUGCCUCCACUCGUCCGAGGACUGUGUUCAAUUUCAGAUCAAGAAAGAUGGAGAUAAAAAAAGUUGGAGCCAAUCGCAAGAAUACUUCUCCACACUGCCACUAGACACAAACACCUCUGAAUCCUGCAGUGUUUACUCUUCUGAGAAACUGAACUGA